AUUGAACGCUGGCGGCAUGCCUUACACAUGCAAGUCGAACGGCAGCGGGCCCUUCGGGGUGCCGGCGAGUGGCGAACGGGUGAGUAAUGCAUCGGAACGUACCCGGGAGAGGGGGAUAACCGGCCGAAAGGCUGGCUAAUACCGCAUGAACUCGGAAGAGCAAAGCGGGGGACCUUCGGGCCUCGCGCUCUUGGAGCGGCCGAUGUCCGAUUAGGCUAGUUGGUGGGGUAAAGGCCCACCAAGGCGACGAUCGGUAGCGGGUCUGAGAGGACGAUCCGCCACACUGGGACUGAGACACGGCCCAGACUCCUACGGGAGGCAGCAGUGGGGAAUCUUGGACAAUGGGCGCAAGCCUGAUCCAGCAAUGCCGCGUGGGUGAAGAAGGCCUUCGGGUUGUAAAGCCCUUUCGGCGGGGAAGAAAUCGGUCAGGCGAAUAGUCUGGCCGGAUGACGGUACCCGAAGAAGAAGCACCGGCUAACUACGUG
RNAcentral lists this ribosomal RNA (485 nucleotides) under uncultured bacterium. RNAcentral describes it as "partial 16S ribosomal RNA". It matches the Rfam family "Bacterial small subunit ribosomal RNA", at positions 28 to 507 of the family's 1533-position model. The record is from RNAcentral.